GGCAGCCCCGAGGCCCCGCGGGUCCGCCGCCUCCUGGCCUGUCUCCGACCUCCGCGGCAUCCCCAGCCGGAGGCCCCAGCCCAAUCCCGGGACUCGGGAAGACGGACGAGCUGAGGCGGAGGAAGGAGAAAUCCUAGGCUCACCCGCAGAGGCUCUGGGUGCCGAGGCCUCCGAGCUUCCCGCUCCGUCACGUGCCCUGCCUGCCCCCUGCCUGCCCUGCCCUGCCCUGCCCUGCCCUGCCCUGCCCCUCUCUCCGGGGCCCCACGCUCUGAUCUUUCACCGCGUCCAGAGGUUUGAAGUGACCCAAAGACCAUCAUCUACAGAAAGUCCGACUGGCCUGCCCGGCGUCUGCUCAGUGUUCUUAUGCACUAGGACUCGUGUGGAUAGUAACUACCACUGGGCAGUUACCAUCAUCCUUCGGAUACCCACCAAAGAGGGGUUGUUGUACCAUCACAAUAAUCCUCACAACAACCCUGCGAGUGACUGAUCACAGCCCUAUAAGCUGGUGUCUGUAUCAGCCAGGCACCCGUAAGAAAGGAAAAAAGAAACUAUUCUAGGUAUUUUGGACAGAGGAACUAAUACACAGAUUGGUUGCAAAGGUGUUGGAAGGGCUGAAUGAAGAAAGAAGAGGAUGAAGACCAAAAACAAAGCAGGAUGGAUACCCAAGGAUCAGGGGGUGCUAAUGCCCCUGGGGUAGACACCUGGAGCUUGCACCUGCUGCAGCACUAUUGAAGAACUACUGCUAUUGGCUCUGGAACCCUGGGUGGCUAGAGACAGGAAUCAGCCCACCCCCUCAGCUCACACAGCUGUUACCAACAACCUCCAGCCAACUGCCACACCGUUGGUGGCAGAAGCAGGAGGCUUCCCUCUUUCCUAUGCCUUCUGAUCUCCAACCAGUGCCUCCUGUCAGCAGACACUAACAAAAAGCUCCAGGAAGCCCGGGGAACUGUAGCCAGCUCAUUCCCAGCUGCAGCAUCACAGAGCAGAGGACACGAAGGCAGCCCGUGUGAGGCAAGAGACAAUGCAUAGAUAACCAACCCAGUGUCAGAAUAAAAAGCCAUGUCAGGCAUUCUUUAAAGGCA
This 1082-nucleotide long non-coding RNA is filed under the name Vulpes vulpes (red fox). RNAcentral's name for it is "lncRNA (ENSVVUG00000028744.1)". Lineage: Eukaryota; Metazoa; Chordata; Mammalia; Carnivora; Canidae. The record is from RNAcentral.